RNAcentral lists this ribosomal RNA (569 nucleotides) under uncultured bacterium. Its description in RNAcentral is "partial 16S ribosomal RNA". It matches the Rfam family "Bacterial small subunit ribosomal RNA", at positions 355 to 914 of the family's 1533-position model. The record is from RNAcentral.
UGGGGAAUUUUGGACAAUGGGCGAAAGCCUGAUCCAGCAAUGCCGCGUGUGUGAAGAAGGCCUUCGGGUUGUAAAGCACUUUUGUCCGGAAAGAAAUCCUUGGCUCUAAUACAGUCGGGGGAUGACGGUACCGGAAGAAUAAGCACCGGCUAACUACGUGCCAGCAGCCGCGGUAAUACGUAGGGUGCAAGCGUUAAUCGGAAUUACUGGGCGUAAAGCGUGCGCAGGCGGUUUGCUAAGACCGAUGUGAAAUCCCCGGGCUCAACCUGGGAACUGCAUUGGUGACUGGGCAGGCUAGAGUAUGGCAGAGGGGGGUAGAAUUCCACGUGUAGCAGUGAAAUGCGUAGAGAUGUGGAGGAAUACCGAUGGCGAAGGCAGCCCCCUGGGCCAAUACUGACGCUCAUGCACGAAAGCGUGGGGAGCAAACAGGAUUAGAUACCCUGGUAGUCCACGCCCUAAAACGAUGUCAACUAGUUGUUGGGGGAUUCAUUUCCUUAGUAACGUAGCUAACGCGUGAAGUUGACCGCCUGGGGAGUACGGUCGCAAGAUUAAAACUUAAAGGAAUUGAC